This 73-nucleotide transfer RNA is filed under the name Nocardiopsaceae bacterium. RNAcentral describes it as "tRNA-Leu". It matches the Rfam family "tRNA". Rfam says of the family: Transfer RNA (tRNA) molecules are approximately 80 nucleotides in length. The record is from RNAcentral. Lineage: Bacteria; Bacillati; Actinomycetota; Actinomycetes; Streptosporangiales; Nocardiopsidaceae.
GUCCUCGUAGCCCAACGGCAGAGGCACCAGUCUGAGUUGCUGGCCAGUGUGCGUUCGAGUCGCACCGAGGACA